CUACGGAGGGUACAAGCGUUAUUCGGAAUCACUGGGCGUAAAGGACGCGUAGGCGGGUUGGCAAGUCAGAUGUGAAAUCCUACAGCUUAACUGUAGAACUGCAUUUGAAACUGCUAACCUAGAGUAUGGGAGGGGGAGAUGGAAUUAGUGGUGUAGGGGUAAAAUCCGUAGAUAUCACUAGGAAUACCGAAAGCGAAGGCGAUCUCCUGGAACAUAACUGACGCUAAGGCGUGAAAGCGUGGGGAGCAAACAGGAUUAGAAACCCCAGUAGUCC
Molecule: ribosomal RNA, 274 nt
Filed under: uncultured bacterium
Lineage: Bacteria
Description: partial 16S ribosomal RNA
Rfam family: Bacterial small subunit ribosomal RNA
Source: RNAcentral